This is a long non-coding RNA of Dunckerocampus dactyliophorus (ringed pipefish), 550 nucleotides long. RefSeq lists it as uncharacterized. NCBI's taxonomy places the organism in Eukaryota, Metazoa, Chordata, Actinopteri, Syngnathiformes, Syngnathidae. The record is from RefSeq and is a predicted model, not a curated record. The transcript is spliced from 3 exons.
CCUCCUCAGGCACAGGGGCUAAUGGCUGUCCUAGUAGUGAUUGAGCAGGCUGGGGCUGAGAUGGACCUUCAUGCUGCCCUUGGCUCUCUGGCUCAGGCUGCACCUGCUGAAGCAGAAUUCAAGCUCGCAGCAAGGCAGGAACAAUGGGCACAAACUCCGGUGGACCCUCAUUGUCCGUCAGCUCCCUGUCUGAUACAGCGGCACCGUUGGGACCCACGUAGAUGACCGUGUCACAUGACUGCUCGCUGCUGGAAUACUCAUCCGGGUCGCUGGACAGGCGCAGCAGUGGGACGUCUGAGCCGGGGUCACCGCGGUGGUGAAAAGGCCGCAGAUGGGUGGGACGACGCAUGCGACCUUCCUCGCAGGAGCUCUCUCCUCCAGAGGAGCUGGAGGUGUACUGCUGAGGACAAAUGGCGCCCAAUAAGAAGUAAAAUUGGAAUUGGAAUCAUGCAAUUUCCUUGGCAACGUGGGGCAGAGGGCUCCACUGCUCCACACAGCUAAUGACGAUGGAUACAUUCAUUUCACAAUGAAUUCACUGUGAGAUAAAAGG